GUAUAUAUAGUGGUUGAUGAAUUUGAAAUCUGUUUUUGGAUAAGAAUUAAAUCUGGAUGGAUUGCUAUUUGAUCGAUUAAAUUAGGUUUAUCCGAUGGAUUUAAUCAUUCGCUUGGGAUUUAGGUUUCAAAAUUAGCCAUGCUUGAUUUCUUCAUCAUUUUCAUUAUAAUUAUCUUACUGCAUAUGAAAUUGAGUUUAUGUGAAAUAUGCUUGAAUAGACAUUGUUAUAGUAGAAUUUGCAUUUCAAUUGAUCACUUUGGUUAGUGCUGAGGUCAAUUUUCUUAGGAUUUCAAUUCAUUGCUUCGGUUAGUUCUCACCACAAAGUUCAAUUUUGUUAGGAUUUUAAUUCAUUGCUUGAAUUGCUUCGGUCAGUUCGGAUUUCAUUAGGCCAAACAUCAGGUUGCUUACAUUUCAAAGUAAAAUUUCGAUGUAGGAAGAAUUUGAGGAGUAUGCAGAGAAAGCAAAGACCUUGCCUGAAAGCACUUCAAAUGAAAACAGGCUCAUUCUAUAUGGACUCUACAAGCAAGCUACAGUUGGGAAUGUCAACACGAGUCGUCCCGGUAUGUUUAACAUGAGGGACAGGGCGAAGUGGGAUGCGUGGAAGGCCGUAGAAGGAAAAACUAAGGAGCAAGCAAUGAGUGAUUACAUCACCAAGGUGAAGCAGUUACUGGAAUAAGCUGCAGCCUCGUGCUGAUUACAAGCUUUCAUCGUCUAUGAGUUGCUCGUAAUAGGCUACCCAUGAUCUAUCAAAAUAAAAGAGUAGUAAAGGUGGGGAUGGGAAAGAACAUGAGAGAAUAAAUCAAGAUGGAAGAAGGAAGGCUGAACAACAACAGUUUUUGCAGUUACUAAUUUUAUUGCUUUUAAUUAGUAGUAUUAGUUAAUUAAUAACUGAUGUUAGGCCAAUGAGGUUUGGAAGGGAUGGGGAGAUUAUCAAUACAUAUGAAC
This is a long non-coding RNA of Salvia splendens (bonfire salvia), 945 nucleotides long. RefSeq lists it as uncharacterized. The transcript is spliced from 4 exons. NCBI's taxonomy places the organism in Eukaryota, Viridiplantae, Streptophyta, Magnoliopsida, Lamiales, Lamiaceae. The record is from RefSeq and is a predicted model, not a curated record.